GUGGGGAAUCUUGCGCAAUGGGCGAAAGCCUGACGCAGCCAUGCCGCGUGAAUGAUGAAGGUCUUAGGAUUGUAAAAUUCUUUCACCGGGGACGAUAAUGACGGUACCCGGAGAAGAAGCCCCGGCUAACUUCGUGCCAGCAGCCGCGGUAAUACGAAGGGGGCUAGCGUUGCUCGGAAUUACUGGGCGUAAAGGGCGCGUAGGCGGACAGUUUAGUCAGAGGUGAAAGCCCAGGGCUCAACCUUGGAAGUGCCUUUGAUACUGGCUGUCUUGAGUUUGGGAGAGGUGAGUGGAACUCCGAGUGUAGAGGUGAAAUUCGUAGAUAUUCGGAAGAACACCAGUGGCGAAGGCGACUCACUGGCCCAAUACUGACGCUGAGGCGCGAAAGCGUGGGGAGCAAACAGGAUUAGAAACCCGGGUAGUCC
Molecule: ribosomal RNA, 425 nt
Filed under: uncultured bacterium
Lineage: Bacteria
Description: partial 16S ribosomal RNA
Rfam family: Bacterial small subunit ribosomal RNA
Source: RNAcentral